RNAcentral lists this ribosomal RNA (189 nucleotides) under Triticum aestivum (bread wheat). Its description in RNAcentral is "partial small subunit ribosomal RNA". Lineage: Eukaryota; Viridiplantae; Streptophyta; Magnoliopsida; Poales; Poaceae. The record is from RNAcentral.
AUGCAUGGUAAGUGUUUUGCUUCACUCACGAUCAUCACCGCCUGGACCAUUUGGAAGCAUAGAAACCCGAUCAUCUUUGAGGGCAUGCAUCCAUCCAACUCCCAACUCCUCAACGUUAUCAUGGACGGGGCCAGGCGAUGGGCGCGUGCGGGCGCCAAGGGACUAGAUAGAAUUAUACUCAUAGCCUGA